Molecule: ribosomal RNA, 495 nt
Filed under: uncultured bacterium
Lineage: Bacteria
Description: partial 16S ribosomal RNA
Rfam family: Bacterial small subunit ribosomal RNA
Source: RNAcentral
GACGAACGCUGGCGGCGUGCCUAAUACAUGCAAGUAGAACGCUGAAGGAGGAGCUUGCUUCUCUGGAUGAGUUGCGAACGGGUGAGUAACGCGUAGGUAACCUGCCUGGUAGCGGGGGAUAACUACUGGAAACGAUAGCUAAUACCGCAUAAGAGUAGAUGUCGCAUGACAUUUGCUUAAAAGGUGCAAUUGCAUCACUACCAGAUGGACCUGCGUUGUAUUAGCUAGUUGGUGAGGUAACGGCUCACCAAGGCAACGAUACAUAGCCGACCUGAGAGGGUGAUCGGCCACACUGGGACUGAGACACGGCCCAGACUCCUACGGGAGGCAGCAGUAGGGAAUCUUCGGCAAUGGACGGAAGUCUGACCGAGCAACGCCGCGUGAGUGAAGAAGGUUUUCGGAUCGUAAAGCUCUGUUGUAAGAGAAGAACGAGUGUGAGAGUGGAAAGUUCACACUGUGACGGUAUCUUACCAGAAAGGGACGGCUAACUACGUG